Molecule: ribosomal RNA, 538 nt
Filed under: uncultured bacterium
Lineage: Bacteria
Description: partial 16S ribosomal RNA
Rfam family: Bacterial small subunit ribosomal RNA
Source: RNAcentral
UGGGGAAUAUUGCACAAUGGGCGAAAGCCUGAUGCAGCGACGCCGCGUGAGGGAUGACGGCCUUCGGGUUGUAAACCUCUUUCAGUAGGGAAGAAGCGAAAGUGACAGUACCUGCAGAAGAAGCACCGGCUAACUACGUGCCAGCAGCCGCGGUAAUACGUAGGGUGCGAGCGUUAUCCGGAAUUAUUGGGCGUAAAGAGCUCGUAGGCGGUUUGUCGCGUCUGUCGUGAAAGUCCGGGGCUUAACCCCGGAUCUGCGGUGGGUACGGGCAGACUAGAGUGCAGUAGGGGAGACUGGAAUUCCUGGUGUAGCGGUGGAAUGCGCAGAUAUCAGGAGGAACGCCGAUGGCGAAGGCAGGUCUCUGGGCUGUAACUGACGCUGAGGAGCGAAAGCAUGGGGAGCGAACAGGAUUAGAUACCCUGGUAGUGCCAUGCCGUAAACGUUGGGCACUAGGUGUGGGGACCAUUCCACGGUUUCCGCGCCGCAGCUAAGCGCAUUAAGUGCCCCGCCUGGGGAGUACGGCCGCAAGGCUAAAACU